GACGAACGCUGGCGGCGUGCCUAAUACAUGCAAGUUGAGCGCUGAAGGAUGGUACUUGUACCAACUGGAUGAGCAGCUAACGGGUGAGUAACGCGUGGGGAAUCUGCCUUUGAGCGGGGGACAACAUUUGGAAACGAAUGCUAAUACCGCAUAAUAACUUUAAACACAAGUUUUAAGUUUGAUAGAUGCAAUUGCAUCACUCAAAGAUGAUCCCGCGUUGUAUUAGCUAGUUGGUGAGGGAAAGGCUCACCAAGGCGAUGAUACAUAGCCGACCUGAGAGGGUGAUCGGCCACAUUGGGACUGAGACACGGCCCAAACUCCUACGGGAGGCAGCAGUAGGGAAUCUUCGGCAAUGGACGAAAGUCUGACCGAGCAACGCCGCGUGAGUGAAGAAGGUUUUCGGAUCGUAAAACUCUGUUGGUAGAGAAGAACGUUGGUGAGAGUGGAAAGCUCAUCAAGUGACGGUAACUACCCAGAAAGGGACGGCUAACUACGUG
RNAcentral lists this ribosomal RNA (497 nucleotides) under uncultured bacterium. Its description in RNAcentral is "partial 16S ribosomal RNA". It matches the Rfam family "Bacterial small subunit ribosomal RNA", at positions 28 to 507 of the family's 1533-position model. The record is from RNAcentral.